AUGCACGCUGGCGGCGUGCCUAAUACCUGCCAGUCGAGCGAACAGAUAAGGAGCUUGCUCCUCUGACGUUAGCGGCGGACGGGUGAGUAACACGUGGAUAACCUACCUAUAAGACUGGGAUAACUUCGGGAAACCGGAGCUAAUACCGGAUAAUAUAUUGAACCGCAUGGUUCAAUAGUGAAAGACGGUUUUGCUGUCACUUAUAGAUGGAUCCGCGCCGCAUUAGCUAGUUGGUAAGGUAACGGCUUACCAAGGCAACGAUGCGUAGCCGACCUGAGAGGGUGAUCGGCCACACUGGAACUGAGACACGGUCCAGACUCCUACGGGAGGCAGCAGUAGGGAAUCUUCCGCAAUGGGCGAAAGCCUGACGGAGCAACGCCGCGUGAGUGAUGAAGGUCUUCGGAUCGUAAAACUCUGUUAUUAGGGAAGAACAAAUGUGUAAGUAACUAUGCACGUCUUGACGGUACCUAAUCAGAAAGCCACGGCUAACUACGUG
This 496-nucleotide ribosomal RNA is filed under the name uncultured bacterium. Its description in RNAcentral is "partial 16S ribosomal RNA". It matches the Rfam family "Bacterial small subunit ribosomal RNA", at positions 29 to 507 of the family's 1533-position model. The record is from RNAcentral.